Molecule: non-coding RNA, 2169 nt
Organism: Agelaius phoeniceus (red-winged blackbird)
Lineage: Eukaryota; Metazoa; Chordata; Aves; Passeriformes; Icteridae
Source: RefSeq, a predicted model, not a curated record
AUUGUGAAUUUAACAAUCAUGGGAACUUCCUUCCUUUCCUUUUGCUAAUCCCUCCUCUAGAGGGGCUUUUAAUGCAAAACCAGGAGAAACUAGUCAGCUGUUAUCAGCUGGGGCCACUUGGAAAAGUUUAUUUUUAAGCUGUAAUGAAGCUGUGUGCCAGAUGUCAUGAUUACCACUCUUCUCAGCUGAUAAUUUGUUUAUUUACUUACAGGCAUGAGGGACUGCUGCAUACUUAGAGGCAAGGCUUGCACCUUGAGUUUGUUAGUCCUUCAUUAGAUCUGAGUGUAGUAUGAACACUGUCCAGUACACAAUUUUCAGUACAAUGAGCAGCCACUGCAUUAGUAUUCAAGUAUUACUAUUAGAAAUUAAAUCAGUUGAUACUUUCAAGAGAAUUUUAAUUCUUCCAGCUUGGUUCUCAAAGUUGUUGUAAGCCUAUAUAGUGUGAAAUGUGAGGGCAGAAGGCUGGUCAGAGACUCAGUACAGCAUCUUAUGAUUCUCAGAGAAUUUUUGUUUAAGAGACUACAUGAGAAAUAAGCUCUGCUGGUCCCAGGGAGUUGGAGGAAUGUUAAGAACCUAAAUUACUUUGUAUCCUGAAGCAGCUCAGCGUCUUCCUGGCUGCUGCUCAGUCUGGGUGAAAUAGUUCAACUGAGGUGAAUUGGAACCACUGACCUGCUGCAGAUACACACGUCUUCAGGACUUGCUGUGUUUUGGCAGCUGUUUCAUUCUGGUGUAUCUCUGUGGAACAUCCUUAUCCUUAUCAGGCUAAGUUUCUAGCAAUGUCAGAAGUAGGUUUUUUUGGUUUUUUGCCUUAUGACAUACCAAUUUUUUUUCUCAUAGGGAAACCCAUUACAGAUGUUUUCUGCAAAUAUGAGCCCUAUAGUCAGAUGCUUCAGUGCUGUCUUGAUACAAUGUCCUAGGAGGAAUGUCUGAAAGAGAUAACGUAAAGAAGGAAACAUCUCACAAAAUGUGACUCUGUGUACUCUACGUUUCACAGAAGUGGCAGCUCACCCUAACUGAACUCUAGUCUGUCAGAUGGGAAGCCCAUCCUUGCAUAAGAACACAAGGCUAAUUCCUGAGCAUCCUCAUAAGAGCCUUUUUCAUGUCAUUAAUAGUACAUGGUGCUCAAGCAGGUUUUUUUUCUUGCCUCAAGUAAUGCUUCAUCUGCUUUGUCUCUUCGUCCUGUUUUCCAUUGCACAGAUGUCUGUGUACACACAAAAGCUUACCUAAUGUUAGCACUAAUGUAUGUACUAUGCAUAUGUUAACAUAAAUAUAUGCCUAGAAUAUGAUUUAGACAUCACACCUACUGUAGGCUGAUACAAAAUCAUGGUUUUCUUUGUGCUAAACCAGUGUGUGUGUAAGAGGGCUCAAGGUAGAUGCUUGAAAUUCCCUGCUGCUGGGUUUUUGUUUGGUAGAAUCUCAAUUAGAAUUAAUUCUCCAAGUCUGGAGCUUUUGGACAUCUACUAUACUCUAGUGGACCCAUUAUUUCAGCUACUGGAAGGAGCUUUGUAGUCAGUGAUUCUCAUUCUGCAUUUUUCUCAGAUUGACAAACUUUACAGUAGUAUUUUUUCUUGUCACAUUAAUUUGUAUGACACGAAGGAAUUCAGCCUAACUUAUUAAACAGUCUUGUAGUUCCUCCAUUUUGAUUAAUCCUUUGACAUGUUUAUUGGCUUUAUGAGGUGUAUUAGUCUUCUGCUCUGUAUAAAGAGAACAAUCCAUAGGAGUUAAUUAAAUAACAGGAAUUCCCACAGUAUUCCUACAGAAAUUUAGAUGUGGAUGCUGCCACAGCCUGAAAAAAGUCAAAAUAAGCUAGUGCUGGAUUUGAGAACCACAGAAUGAGAAAAGUAAGCAAAAACUGCAAAGAGAUUUUUCUGCAUCUUUUGGGGUUUUGAGACUAUAGCAAACUUUGUGUGCAGAAAUAACACUGCAAAUGAACUCAAGAACAUUGCAUGGUUCUGCUUUUCAGCAUGCUUUCCAUUGAUUAAUAAUGGCAGAUUAACCUGGGCUGUGCUAGUGCUUUCUGAGGUCAAGGAGCGACGGAACCUCAGUCCAUUUGUACCUGCAACAACUGGCGAGACUGAGAGCCAAAGGAACUGAAACACUGUAACUCCAUGGCAUCAUUUUAAAAUGAAACAUGACAUUGUAUACAUUAAAUGAUUUUGUAUCUGUAAA